GCGUUCGUAGCUCAACUGGAUAGAGCGACAGACUUCGGAUCUGUAGGUUAUGGGUUCAAUUCCUAUCGGGCGCACCA
This 77-nucleotide transfer RNA is filed under the name Campylobacter coli. Its description in RNAcentral is "tRNA-Arg". It matches the Rfam family "tRNA". From Rfam's summary of the family: Transfer RNA (tRNA) molecules are approximately 80 nucleotides in length. Their secondary structure includes four short double-helical elements and three loops (D, anti-codon, and T loops). The record is from RNAcentral. RNAcentral also lists the same sequence under 6 other names. Lineage: Bacteria; Pseudomonadati; Campylobacterota; Epsilonproteobacteria; Campylobacterales; Campylobacteraceae.